UUAGUUGGUGGAGUGAUUUGUCUGGUUAAUUCCGAUAACGAACGAGACCUUAACCUACUAACUAGAUCACCGAGAUUGUCUCGGCGAAGCUUCUUAGAGGGACUAUGUGGUAAAACCUCAAGGAAGUUUAAGGCAAUAACAGGUC
This 145-nucleotide ribosomal RNA is filed under the name Ciliophora sp. RNAcentral's name for it is "partial small subunit ribosomal RNA". It matches the Rfam family "Eukaryotic small subunit ribosomal RNA", at positions 1294 to 1462 of the family's 1831-position model. The record is from RNAcentral. Lineage: Eukaryota; Ciliophora.